GAUGAAGAACGUAGCAAAAUGCGAUAAGUAAUGUGAAUUGCAGAAUUCAGUGAAUCAUCGAAUCUUUGAACGCACAUUGCGCCCCUUGGUAUUCCGAGGGGCAUGCCUGUUCGAGCGUCAUUUCAACCCUCAAGCACAGCUUGGUCUUGGGCUUCGCCGCUAACCCGGCGGGUCUUAAAAUCAGUGGCGGUGCCGUCGGGCCCUGAGCGCAGUAAUCUCUCUCGCUAUAGGGUCCCGGCGGAUGCUGGCCAGUAACCCCCAAUUUUCUAUGGUUGACCUCGGAUCAGGUAGGGAUACCCGCUGAACUUAAGCAUAUCAAUAAGCGGAGGA
This 330-nucleotide unclassified non-coding RNA is filed under the name soil metagenome. RNAcentral's name for it is "partial contains 5.8S ribosomal RNA, internal transcribed spacer 2, and large subunit ribosomal RNA". The stretch from base 1 to 120 matches the Rfam family "5.8S ribosomal RNA", at positions 35 to 154 of the family's 154-position model. The record is from RNAcentral.